This 560-nucleotide long non-coding RNA is filed under the name Rattus norvegicus (Norway rat). RNAcentral describes it as "long non-coding RNA NONRATT014414". The record is from RNAcentral. Lineage: Eukaryota; Metazoa; Chordata; Mammalia; Rodentia; Muridae.
CAGGGGUUGGCAAGACAACCUUGAUCCAGAAAGCCAUCACGGUCCUACAGUCUUCUGGGCUGCCUGUAGAUGGAUUUUACACACAAGAAGUCAGGCAGGGAGGGAAGAGGAUAGGAUUCGAUGUCGUCACCCUGUCUGGUGCCCAGGGGCCUCUGUCCAGAGUCACAGCCUCUACCUGGAAAGGCCGACUGCCGAGUGGGGCAGUAUGAGGUGGACCUGGCUUCUUUUGAGCAGUUGGUACUACCUGUCCUAAGGAAUGCUGUCCCCAGCUGUGGCCUCAGACACAGAGUGUGCGUCAUUGAUGAGGUUGGGAAGAUGGAGCUGUUCAUUGACUUUGACUGCUGUAGAUAUUAAACACCUCUCCAGGUGCAGCUCCAGACUGGUGGCAGCUGAAAGCAGUAACAACUGGUUCUCUUCAGUUAUUUCCAAAAGGGGGAAAAAAUCAGUCCUCCUCUCCCUCUCUUGUUUAUUCCUCUGUUCAUUGACUAAUAAAAACAGAAAUAAAUCUGGUGGUCCAGACACCAGGUCACAAUGCCGGUGUUAGCCACAGGCCAGACAUG